Gossypium hirsutum (cotton) is the source of this 123-nucleotide non-coding RNA. Lineage: Eukaryota; Viridiplantae; Streptophyta; Magnoliopsida; Malvales; Malvaceae. The record is from Rfam.
AAUGGGAGGAUGACAAAUCAGAUUUUUCUCCUAAUUUUCAGCUUUUUCCUCCUGAAAAAAAUUCAAAUCCAACUAAAAAUGGUAAAACUCAGGAGGAAAAAUCUGAUUUGUCAUCCUCCCAUU